CAAUUUACAUUCGUUUUUGACCUACUGUAAAAAAUACUGUUUAUUUAUGUAGCUCCUCACAAUUCCUCUGGUCAAAAUAACAAAUAUCCCUUGAUGCAUUUAUUAUCUUGUUGACUGUUUUCUUGGAGUCUCCUGAUUUUCCUCUUCUUAUAUGUUUAUCCAUUUUUACUUUAAAUUUAUAUUUAAAUGUUGGCCUUCAUCUCUCUUUAUACAUUUCAUGGGUGGUCUCACUUGUUACUAUUAAUUUACAUAGGACCUGCAUGCCAACAAUCUCAAAUUUACAUCUCAGCCCAGACCUCUUUUCUGGGAUCCAGACUUGUGUAUCCAUACAUCUACUUGAUACCUCCUCUUGUAUGUCCCAGAAACAUACAAACAGAAAUGUUCAAACUUGGUUUGUUGAUUCACCCCUGUUCUGUCAGCCAGGUCUUAUUUUUUUCUAUUUUUUUUUUCCAAUUGAUAGUAUAUGGUGCCAACAUUCACCCAGAUAGUCAAACCAAUAAAUACACAAGUAAAGUAAAAUAAAUAACUAAAUAAAACUAGAACAUAUCAUUGACUUAUUUCUUUCAUCAUCUGUAUGCAUAUGCAAUCUAUUAUUAAAUCCUAGUAGUGCUAUCUGUAAAAUAAUUCUCCAUAUAGCCAUCUGUUUUCGUUUGCUUGCGCUGCCAUAACAAAAUCCUGGGAGGCUUAAACAACAGAAAUCUCUUUCUCACAGUUCUAUAGGCUGGGAAGUUAAAGAUCAAGGUGCCAGCAUGGUCAGUUCCUCAUAAGGGUGUUCUUGCUGACUUGUAGAUGACUAUCUUUUUGCUGUGUCCUUACAUCAUGGAGAGAGCAGUCUGGUAUUUCUUUCUCUUCUUAUAAGGAUAUCAGUCCUAUCAAAUUAGGACCCCACCUUUCUGACCUCAUUUAUCUUCAAUUCCCUCCUCACAGGCCAUAUGUGAGGCAGUAAUUGAAGGCUUCAAUACAUGAAUUUUGUGGGAGCCCUCUCUCUGUUUCCGCGGCCACCAUCCUUGUCCUAAUCACCAGCAUCUCUUAUCUGUCAAUUCAACAGACUCUUAAUUGUCUUGCUGCUUUCAGUGUUGCUUUCUGCAAUUUGUUUUGUAGUGAGAAAUCAAAGUGGUCUUUUAAAAAUUUAAUUACUUAAUUUUACUUCCCUGCUUAAAUCCUUGAAUGGUUUCUCAUUGCACUGUGAAUAUAAACAAAAUCCUUUAGCAGGGCCUCUAAGACCAUACCUUAUUCUCCCUCUCUGUCAAAAAACACUGGUGAUACUGGCCUUCUGCCACAUUCUAGAAUAACAUACCACAUACCUUUUCACACACCAAAUUCUCAAAUCUCCUUCCCCUGUACCCGGAAUACAAUUCUGUCAGCACUUCACCUUGGCUACCUCUUUGCCAUACUUGUCAUCUCAGCUGAAACAUCACUUCAUCAGAGAGGUCUUCUCCAAUUGCUGACGGGUUGAUGGAUGCAGCAAACCACCAUGGCAGGUGUAUACCUAUGUAACAAACCUACACAUUCUGCACAUGUAUCCCAGACUUAAAGUAUAAUAACAAAAAAAAAGAAUCUUUAAAAAAAUAAAAUAAAAAUA
This 1582-nucleotide long non-coding RNA is filed under the name Homo sapiens (human). Its description in RNAcentral is "non-protein coding lnc-RPRM-9:1". The record is from RNAcentral. Lineage: Eukaryota; Metazoa; Chordata; Mammalia; Primates; Hominidae.